This 258-nucleotide long non-coding RNA is filed under the name Elaeis guineensis (African oil palm). RNAcentral describes it as "long non-coding RNA (EGUI_LNC080358)". The record is from RNAcentral. Lineage: Eukaryota; Viridiplantae; Streptophyta; Magnoliopsida; Arecales; Arecaceae.
UCAGUUCUCCUCUAGUUCCAUCCAACUUCUCUUGUUCUUCCAUUCUUUUCCACCCUUGUUCUCAAGACUCGAACUGAUUUAAGUAUCGGAGGGUCAAAAAUCAGAGGAUCUCCACUCAGUUUCUGAACUGAUUUUGCAGAAUGGAGGAGUUUUCAUCAAAUUGCAAGGAUCGCUCUAGUCCAAUCUCGUUCAAGUCGAUUCACUCUACUUCAGAUUUCGAGUCCUGAAGCAGUAGAUUGGCGCUUAAAAGAGGGCCCC